CCUACGGGAGGCAGCAGUGGGGAAUAUUGCACAAUGGGGGAAACCCUGAUGCAGCGACGCCGCGUGAGUGAAGAAGUAAUUCGUUAUGUAAAGCUCUAUCAGCAGGGAAGAAAAUGACGGUACCUGAGUAAGAAGCCCCGGCUAACUACGUGCCAGCAGCCGCGGUAAUACGUAGGGGGCAAGCGUUAUCCGGAUUUACUGGGUGGAAAGGGAGCGUAGACGGCAGUGCAAGUCUGGAGUGAAAGGCGGGGGCUCAACCCCCGGACUGCUUUGGAAACUGUACGGCUGGAGUGCAGGAGAGGUAAGUGGAAUGCCUAGUGUAGCGGUGAAAUGCGUAGAUAUUAGGAGGAACACCAGUGGCGAAGGCGGCUUACUGGACUGUAACUGACGUUGAGGCUCGAAAGCGUGGGGAGCAAACAGGAUUAGAUACCCCAGUAGUC
RNAcentral lists this ribosomal RNA (440 nucleotides) under uncultured bacterium. RNAcentral's name for it is "partial 16S ribosomal RNA". It matches the Rfam family "Bacterial small subunit ribosomal RNA", at positions 338 to 795 of the family's 1533-position model. The record is from RNAcentral.